This 466-nucleotide ribosomal RNA is filed under the name uncultured bacterium. RNAcentral describes it as "partial 16S ribosomal RNA". It matches the Rfam family "Bacterial small subunit ribosomal RNA", at positions 28 to 507 of the family's 1533-position model. The record is from RNAcentral.
GACGAACGCUGGCGGCGUGCUUAACACAUGCAAGUCGAACGGAAAGGCCCUGCUUGCAGGGUACUCGAGUGGCGAACGGGUGAGUAACACGUGGGUGAUCUGCCCUGCACUUCGGGAUAAGCCUGGGAAACUGGGUCUAAUACCGGAUAGGAGCCAUUUUUAGUGUGAUGGUUGGAAAGUUUUUUUCGGUGUAGGAUGAGCUCGCGGCCUAUCAGCUUGUUGGUGGGGUAAUGGCCUACCAAGGCGGCGACGGGUAGCCGGCCUGAGAGGGUGGAGGGCCACAUUGGGACUGAGAUACGGCCCAGACUCCUACGGGAGGCAGCAGUGGGGAAUAUUGCACAAUGGGCGCAAGCCUGAUGCAGCGACGCCGCGUGGGGGAUGACGGCCUUCGGGUUGUAAACUCCUUUCGCUAGGGACGAAGCUUUUUGUGACGGUACCUAGAUAAGAAGCACCGGCUAACUACGUG